RNAcentral lists this ribosomal RNA (253 nucleotides) under uncultured bacterium. Its description in RNAcentral is "partial 16S ribosomal RNA". It matches the Rfam family "Bacterial small subunit ribosomal RNA", at positions 524 to 776 of the family's 1533-position model. The record is from RNAcentral.
UACGAAGGGGGCUAGCGUUGUUCGGAAUUACUGGGCGUAAAGCGCACGUAGGCGGAUCGAUCAGUCAGGGGUGAAAUCCCGGGGCUCAACCCCGGAAUGGCCUUCAAAACUCCUGGUCUUGAGUUCGAGAGAGGUGAGUGGAAUUCCGAGUGUAGAGGUGAAAUUCGUAGAUAUUCGGAGGAACACCAGUGGCGAAGGCGGCUCACUGGCUCGACACUGACGCUGAGGUGCGAAAGCGUGGGGAGCAAACAGG